AAGGAUCAUUACAGAGUUCAUGCCCUCACGGGUAGAUCUCCCACCCUUGAAUAUUAUACCUUAGUUGCUUUGGCAGGCCGGGGCAACCCCCGGGGCUUCGGCCUUGGUGUGCCUGCCAGAGGAAACAAACUCUGUUUUUAGUGAUGUCUGAGUACUAUAUAAUAGUUAAAACUUUCAACAACGGAUCUCUUGGUUCUGGCAUCGAUGAAGAACGCAGCGAAAUGCGAUAAGUAAUGUGAAUUGCAGAAUUCAGCGAAUCAUCGAAUCUUUGAACGCACAUUGCGCCCCGUGGUAUUCCGCGGGGCAUGCCUGUUCGAGCGUCAUUUCAACCCAUCAAGCUUCGGCUUGGUCUUGGGGCCUGCGAUUCCGCAGCCUCUAAACCCAGUGGCGGUGCCUCCGAGCUCUGAGCGUAGUAAUUCUUCUCGCUAUAGGGUCUCGGUGGUGUCUUGCCAGCAACCCCCAAUUUUUUACAGGUUGACCUCGGAUCAGGUAGGGAUACCCGCUGAACUUAAGCAUAUCAAUAAGCGGAGGAAAAGAAACCAACAGGGAUUACCUCAGUAACGGCGAGUGAAGCGGUAACAGCUCAAAUUUGAAAUCUGCCGCAAGGCCGAGUUGUAAUUUGUAGAAGAUGCUUUGGGUAUGGCCCCGGUCUAAGUUCGUUGGAACACGACGUCAUAGAGGGUGAGAAUCCCGUAUGUGACUGGGUGCUUUUGCCUAUGUAAAGCUCUUUCGACGAGUCGAGUUGUUUGGGAAUGCAGCUCAAAAUGGGUGGUAUAUUUCAUCUAAAGCUAAAUAUUGGCCAGAGACCGAUAGCGCACAAGUAGAGUGAUCGAAAGAUGAAAAGCACUUUGGAAAGAGAGUUAAACAGUACGUGAAAUUGUUGAAAGGGAAGCGCUUGCAACCAGACUUGCACGCUGUUGAUCAUCCAGGCUUCUGUCUGGUGCACUCGGCAGCGUUCAGGCCAGCAUCGGUUCUGGUGGUGGGAUAAAGGCCUUGGGAAUGUAGCUUCUUUCGGGGAGUGUUAUAGCCCUCGGUGCAAUGCCGCCUAUCGGGACCGAGGACCGCGCUUCGGCUAGGAUGCUGGCGUAAUGGUUGUAAGCGACC
Molecule: ribosomal RNA, 1104 nt
Filed under: uncultured Lemonniera
Lineage: Eukaryota; Fungi; Ascomycota
Description: eukaryotic LSU rRNA
Rfam family: Eukaryotic large subunit ribosomal RNA (bases 476-1104)
Source: RNAcentral